RNAcentral lists this ribosomal RNA (408 nucleotides) under uncultured bacterium. Its description in RNAcentral is "partial 16S ribosomal RNA". It matches the Rfam family "Bacterial small subunit ribosomal RNA", at positions 28 to 526 of the family's 1533-position model. The record is from RNAcentral.
GACGAACGCUGGCGGCGUGCUUAACACAUGCAAGUCGAACGGAGUGGCGAACGGGUGAGUAACACGUGGGUGAUCUGCCUUGCAAUUCGGGAUAAGCUUGGGAGACUGGGUCUAAUACCGGAUAGUGCAAGAUGAGCUCGCGGCCGAUCAGCUUGUUGGUGGGGGAAUGGCCUACCAAGGCGUCGACGGGUAGCCGGCCUGAGAGGGUGUACGGCCACCUUGGGCCUGAGAUACGGCCCAGACUCCGACGGGAGGCAGCAGUGGGGAAUAUUGCACAAUGGGCGGAAGCCUGAUGCAGCGACGCCGCGUGGGUGAUGAAGGCCUUCGUGUUGUAAACUCCUUUCGACAGGGACGCGGUACCUGGAUAAGAAGCACCGGCUAACUACGUGCCAGCAGCCGCGGUAAUUC